RNAcentral lists this ribosomal RNA (468 nucleotides) under uncultured bacterium. RNAcentral's name for it is "partial 16S ribosomal RNA". It matches the Rfam family "Bacterial small subunit ribosomal RNA", at positions 28 to 507 of the family's 1533-position model. The record is from RNAcentral.
GACGAACGCUGGCGGCGUGCUUAACACAUGCAAGUCGAACGGAAAGGCCCUGCUUUUGUGGGGUGCUCGAGUGGCGAACGGGUGCGUAACAGGUGAGUAACCUGCCCUUGAUUUUGGGAUAACUUCAGGAAACUGGGGCUAAUAACGUAUAGGAGCUCCUGCUGCAUGGUGGGGGUUGGAAAGUUUCGGCGGUUGGGGAUGGAUUCGCGGCUGUUGAGUUUGUUGGUGGGGUAGUGGCGUACCAAGGCUUCGACGGGUCGCCGGCCUGAGUGAGCGACCGGCCACACUGCGUAUGAGAUACGGCGCUGUCUCCUACCGGAGUCACCAGUCGUGAGGGUUGCACAAUGAGAGGAAGCCUGAUAUCGCGACGCCGCGUGCGGGAUGACGGUUUUCGGGUUGUAAACCGCUUUCGCUUAUUACCAAGCGUGAGUGACGGUAAUGGGUCAAGAAGCACCGGCUAACUACGUG